GAUGAACGCUGGCGGCGUGCCUAAUACAUGCAAGUCGAGCGAACAGACGAGGAGCUUGCUCCUCUGACGUUAGCGGCGGACGGGUGAGUAACACGUGGAUAACCUACCUAUAAGACUGGGAUAACUUCGGGAAACCGGAGCUAAUACCGGAUAACAUGUUGAACCGCAUGGUUCAACAGUGAAAGACGGUCUUGCUGUCACUUAUAGAUGGAUCCGCGCCGCAUUAGCUAGUUGGUAAGGUAACGGCUUACCAAGGCAACGAUGCGUAGCCGACCUGAGAGGGUGAUCGGCCACACUGGAACUGAGACACGGUCCAGACUCAUACGGGAGGCAGCAGUAGGGAAUCUUCCGCAAUGGGCGAAAGCCUGACGGAGCAACGCCGCGUGAGUGAAGAAGGUCUUCGGAUCGUAAAACUCUGUUAUUAGGGAAGAACAAAUGUGUAAGUAACUAUGCACGUCUUGACGGUACCUAAUCAGAAAGCCACGGCUAACUACGUG
Molecule: ribosomal RNA, 497 nt
Filed under: uncultured bacterium
Lineage: Bacteria
Description: partial 16S ribosomal RNA
Rfam family: Bacterial small subunit ribosomal RNA
Source: RNAcentral